Molecule: long non-coding RNA, 270 nt
Organism: Centruroides sculpturatus (bark scorpion)
Lineage: Eukaryota; Metazoa; Arthropoda; Arachnida; Scorpiones; Buthidae
Exons: 3
Source: RefSeq, a predicted model, not a curated record
GGAUUAUGUAACAAUACUGAUGUCUAAUUAUAAGCUAUGGCCAACUGUUCAACUGUUUACAUUUUAUGUAAUUCCCUUUCAAUUCAGAGUUAUUUUUGUGAAUGUUGUUGCUAUCUUUUGGAAUUCAUACUUAUCUUGGAAAUCAAAUAGAAAGAAUUUACAUGGAGAAAUUAAAGAAAUAUCACAAUAACAUGAAAUAUUUGAAAAUGUUUCUACAUAAAAACCAAAGAAAUGAUUUUGUUAAAAUAUUCAGGUUUGCAUAAUGAUAAU